ACGAGCGCUGGCGGCGUGCCUCAUACAUGCAAGUUGAGCGCUGAAGGUUGGUACUUGUACCAACUGGAUGAGCAGCGAACGGGUGAGUAACGCGUGGGGAAUCUGCCUUUGAGCGGGGGACAACAUUUGGAAACGAAUGCUAAUACCGCAUAAAAACUUUAAACACAAGUUUUAAGUUUGAAAGAUGCAAUUGCAUCACUCAAAGAUGAUCCCGCGUUGUAUUAGCUAGUUGGUGAGGUAAAGGCUCACCAAGGCGAUGAUACAUAGCCGACCUGAGAGGGUGAUCGGCCACAUUGGGACUGAGACACGGCCCAAACUCCUACGGGAGGCAGCAGUAGGGAAUCUUCGGCAAUGGACGAAAGUCUGACCGAGCAACGCCGCGUGAGUGAAGAAGGUUUUCGGAUCGUAAAACUCUGUUGGUAGAGAAGAACGUUGGUGAGAGUGGAAAGCUCAUCAAGUGACGGUAACUACCCAGAAAGGGACGGCUAACUACGUG
RNAcentral lists this ribosomal RNA (496 nucleotides) under uncultured bacterium. RNAcentral describes it as "partial 16S ribosomal RNA". It matches the Rfam family "Bacterial small subunit ribosomal RNA", at positions 29 to 507 of the family's 1533-position model. The record is from RNAcentral.